CAACAAGAAUAGACCAGCAGCGGGGGGGAGUUAGGGAGGGCCCAGGGAACAAAAUGACAAAACAGAGCUUUCCCACAUUUUCUACAUCGUGGCACACCAAUACAUCAUCGUCACCAGCGGAAGUGGGAGGCUCUUCAUAGAUUGAAAAGGGAAACUUCUUCCUGUGAGCAGUCCGUUCAUUUCUCUCCCAGACACAAGGCUGAAAUUUUAGUAUUACAGGUAUCACUGGGGAAUAUUUCUCAGCUGCAGGAAUUUAAUCAGAUGCUCUCUCUCAGUUACUCAUGUUGGAAUUAGUGACCAGCUUAAACCCCAACGGCUUUUUCACAUUAACUGAUGUCAAGCCAGGGGGUCUUCUAGGAUGCCAGCCAAAUGGACAACGCCAGAGUGAAGACCCAGGAGAUGAAAUCGGAUCAAGUGGGAAGAGUAGCAUAAGGAAUCUAAAGUGGAACAAGGCUUUGUUCAUCUGCAAGCGUGAUUUCCAUUACCUACAUCCUUGUGAAUAUGCAACAGACCACAGGAAAUUCAGCCAAUCAGGACCCAGCAGUGCCCUGACCCGUGGCUGGUCACGCAUGGAGCUGUUCACUGAAACUCUUAUCAGAUCUCAACAAGCAAACUGCACCGGUGAUGGAUAUGACACUUAAUAAGCAACAUCGAUAAACUGAAAAUAUGAAUUUCCUGCUGUUAGUGACUGUGGCAGAGACCACUAAUUGUCUACUAUGGCAACAGCUAACUAUGCAUCAAAAACGUGUCCUCCCCGCAGGGGCUUCUGCGUUGCCAGUUAUGUUCUGUUUCCGGAGCUGGAGCUGGUCACACAGGUGUACUAAGUUUGUGAAAAUGCAUUGGGCAGUACAUUUAUGACAUAUGCACUUUUCUGACUGUAUACUAUACUCUAAUAAAAAGUUUCCAGAAAACAAUUAUUCAGUCUACUGAGGAUAGAUAAAUAAAAAAAUAGACUGUGAAAAAGUUUGGUGUUCUUUUCCAGAUACAGAGUUAUUAGUGGAAGCAGAUGCCCCAGCAGGAAGUACACUUCCCAGAACCACUUCUUUCUAGAUUGGAGCCAUGUGACCCAUUCUCACCAAUAGAAUGUGAGCAGAAGUGAUGUGUGUCAUUUCUAGGCCACAGUGGUGAAGACACUGUGUACUUUCUCUACCUUCUCUUCCCAUCUGCCUAAUAGAUAAGGAAGAUUUCAUUGCCCUAGAACAUGACAGAUCAACAAGACGGAAAGCUGCCCUCUGACCGGGAACACCCACAUUGGACUUUUAGUCUCCUGUUGACAAUCCGUCCGCUUAAAAAUAAUAACCUCUGUAUAUUCCCUUGCAACUAGAUGUGGCCAUGUGAUUCAGUCCUGGUCAAUGAGAUAUAAAUGGUAUUUGCCAGCUAUGGCCUCCAGGAAAGCACUUUAAAGAUUCAGCUUUAUCUUGUCUGGAGCACAGACAUGCUGUAUGAGAUGUAGCAGCCAUCUUGUAUCCAUAAGAGCAUGCUAAAGAUGGCCGUGAACACCUCUUACAAAAACCACCCUGUCAAGAAAUAAAAAACUGCCAUUACUCCAGAAA
Equus caballus (horse) is the source of this 1553-nucleotide long non-coding RNA. Lineage: Eukaryota; Metazoa; Chordata; Mammalia; Perissodactyla; Equidae. The record is from Ensembl.